CCAAUAGCGUAUAUUAAAGUUGUUGCAGUUAAAAAGCUCGUAGUUGAAUUUCGGGGUCAGUAGAUUGGUCGUUCCACUGGUAUGUACUGGUCUCACUGGCUCCUCCUUCCUGAUGAACCGUAAUGCCAUUAAUUUGGUGUUGCGGGGAGACUGGACUGUUACUUUGAAAAAAUUAGAGUGUUUAAAGCAGGCUAACGCUUGAAUACAUUAGCAUGGAAUAAUGAAAUAGGACGUUCGAUCUUAUUUUGUUGGUUUCUAAGAUUGACGUAAUGAUUAAUAGGGAUAGUUGGGGGCAUUAGUAUUCAAUUGUCAGAGGUGAAAUUCUUGGAUUUAUUGAAGACUAACUACUGCGAAAGCAGUUUCCAAGGAUGUUUUCAUUAAUCAAGAACGAAAGUUAGGGGAUCGAAGACGAUCAGAUACCGUCGUAGUCUUAACCAUAAACUAUGCCGACUAGGGAUCGGAUGAUGUUAAUUUUUUAAUGACUCAUUCGGCGCCUUACG
RNAcentral lists this ribosomal RNA (500 nucleotides) under uncultured Glomeromycotina. RNAcentral's name for it is "partial small subunit ribosomal RNA". It matches the Rfam family "Eukaryotic small subunit ribosomal RNA", at positions 591 to 1092 of the family's 1831-position model. Lineage: Eukaryota; Fungi; Glomeromycota. The record is from RNAcentral.